Molecule: ribosomal RNA, 104 nt
Filed under: Staphylococcus aureus
Lineage: Bacteria; Bacillati; Bacillota; Bacilli; Caryophanales; Staphylococcaceae
Description: partial 23S ribosomal RNA
Rfam family: Bacterial large subunit ribosomal RNA
Source: RNAcentral
UUCGGUUAUAAGAUCCCUCAAAGAUGAUGAGGUUAAUAGGUUCGAGGUGGAAGCAUGGUGACAUGUGGAGCUGACGAAUACUAAUCGAUCGAAGACUUAAUCAA